RNAcentral lists this ribosomal RNA (253 nucleotides) under uncultured bacterium. RNAcentral describes it as "partial 16S ribosomal RNA". It matches the Rfam family "Bacterial small subunit ribosomal RNA", at positions 524 to 776 of the family's 1533-position model. The record is from RNAcentral.
UACGUAGGGUGCGAGCGUUGUCCGGAAUUACUGGGCGUAAAGAGCGCGCAGGCGGUCGUUCAAGUCGAGUGUGAAAGCCCCCGGCUCAACUGGGGAGGGUCACUCGAUACUGAUCGACUCGAAGGCAGGAGAGGGAAGCGGAAUUCCCGGUGUAGUGGUGAAAUGCGUAGAUAUCGGGAGGAACACCAGUGGCGAAGGCGGCUUUCUGGCCUGCUCUUGACGCUGAGGCGCGAAAGCUAGGGUAGCAAACGGG